GAUGAAGAACGUAGCGAAAUGCGAUAAGUAAUGUGAAUUGCAGAAUUCAGUGAAUCAUCGAAUCUUUGAACGCACAUUGCGCCCGCUAGUAUUCUGGCGGGCAUGCCUGUCCGAGCGUCAUUUCAACCCUCAAGCCCCCGGGCUUGGUGUUGGGGAUCGGCGAGCCUCCGCGCCCGCCGUCCCCUAAAUCUAGUGGCGGUCUCGCUGUAGCUUCCUCUGCGUAGUAGCACACCUCGCACUGGGAAACAGCGCGGCCACGCCGUUAAACCCCCAACUUCUGAACGUUUGACCUCGGUUCAGGUAGGAAUACCCGCUGAACUUAAGCAUAUCAAUAAGCGGAGGA
This 343-nucleotide unclassified non-coding RNA is filed under the name soil metagenome. Its description in RNAcentral is "partial contains 5.8S ribosomal RNA, internal transcribed spacer 2, and large subunit ribosomal RNA". The stretch from base 1 to 120 matches the Rfam family "5.8S ribosomal RNA", at positions 35 to 154 of the family's 154-position model. The record is from RNAcentral.